RNAcentral lists this ribosomal RNA (331 nucleotides) under uncultured eukaryote. RNAcentral's name for it is "partial 18S ribosomal RNA". It matches the Rfam family "Eukaryotic small subunit ribosomal RNA", at positions 1470 to 1796 of the family's 1831-position model. The record is from RNAcentral.
CCCUUAGAUGUUCUGGGCCGCACGCGCGCUACACUGACGAAGUCAGCGAGCAUGUCCUACGCCGACAGGUGCGGGGAAUCUUGUCAAACUUCGUCGUGAUGGGGAUUGAUUAUUGAAAUUCUUGAUCAUCAACGAGGAAUUCCUAGUAAGCGCAAGUCAGUAGCUUGCGUUGAUUACGUCCCUGCCCUUUGUACACACCGCCCGUCGCUACUACCGAUUGAAUGGUUUAGUGAGAUCUUCGGAUUGGCGCCACUGCGGCUCAGCAAUGGGCUCGGUGGAUGCCGAAAAGUUGAUCAAACUUGAUCAUUUAGAGGAAGUAAAAGUCGUAACA